UCUCCGAUAGCUCAGUCGGUAGAGAGACGGAGUGUUAAUCCGUGGGUCGUUGGUUCGAGUCCAACUCGGAGAG
This 73-nucleotide transfer RNA is filed under the name Siphoviridae sp. ctmpG14. Its description in RNAcentral is "tRNA-Asn". It matches the Rfam family "tRNA". From Rfam's summary of the family: Transfer RNA (tRNA) molecules are approximately 80 nucleotides in length. The record is from RNAcentral. Lineage: Duplodnaviria; Heunggongvirae; Uroviricota; Caudoviricetes.